GACAGAUAUUUCGCGAGCUG
RNAcentral lists this microRNA (20 nucleotides) under Spodoptera frugiperda (fall armyworm). Its description in RNAcentral is "sfr-miR-10473-3p". Lineage: Eukaryota; Metazoa; Arthropoda; Insecta; Lepidoptera; Noctuidae. The record is from miRBase by way of RNAcentral.